This 464-nucleotide ribosomal RNA is filed under the name uncultured Mycoplasma sp. RNAcentral's name for it is "bacterial SSU rRNA". It matches the Rfam family "Bacterial small subunit ribosomal RNA", at positions 545 to 1013 of the family's 1533-position model. Lineage: Bacteria; Bacillati; Mycoplasmatota; Mollicutes; Mycoplasmatales; Mycoplasmataceae. The record is from RNAcentral.
CCGAAAUUAUUGGGCGUAAAGCGUCCGUAGGUUGUUUGUUAAGUCUGGAGUUAAAGACCGGUGCUCAACGCCGGCACGCUUUAGAUACUGGCAAACUAGAGUUAUAAAGAGGUAAGUGGAAUUUCAUGUGAAGCGGUGGAAUGCGUAGAUAUAUGAAAGAACACCAAUGGCGAAGGCAGCUUACUGGUUAUAUACUGACACUGAGGGACGAAAGCGUGGGGAGCAAACAGGAUUAGAUACCCUGGUAGUCCACGCCGUAAACGAUGAUCAUUAGUUGGUGGGGGGACCCUCGCUAACGCAGCUAACGCAUUAAAUGAUCCGCCUGAGUAGUAUGCUCGCAAGAGUGAAACUUAAAGGAAUUGACGGGGACCCGCACAAGCGGUGGAGCAUGUGGUUUAAUUUGACGAUACGCGUAGAACCUUACCCACUCUUGACAUCCCUUGCAAAGCUAUAGAGAUAUAGUG